AGCGCAAGUGUUCGCACACACACACACACACACACACACACAUACGUCAUCCGUCAUCCGUCUCGCACGGGCGCAUCGUGCACGCUCAGCGCACGCACGCUAUCAUCUCCAACACACUUUCUUCCCUCCGCAAGCCCACCUUCUUCUGCUGCUCGUUCUCUUCUCACCUCACCCCCUUUUGUAUUCCAUCUGUGUGAGCCUUUCGGUUUAUCGCUUUGUUUUUCGCCGGGCUCUACGUAAGCGUUUUUGUGUGUGCGCGGAGGCGGAUCGCGACGUUCGCAUCCCUCCUUUCUCUGUGCUCAGUUGCGGUGACGUUGGUAGCGUUAGCACAAUCACGCACUGCAGCACUCUGAGACCGCUUUCUCGAAUGCUUACUUAUCUCCUCCCCCCUUUUUUCUUGCGUGAAUACUUUAUCCGUACACAAAAGCUAACCGACUCACGCACGUCCGCACGCUCGCACAUAGAUACGCAUUCGCACGCUCGAGCAUGUAUAUAUACGCAUUUGCCAAGUUGUCGUUUUUCUCUCUUAUUGCUGCUCCCACUGACACGCUCUCUAUCUUUGGGUCUCGGAUACCCACCCCUCGACGCCGGCCUUAUCCCCUCUCCCACCUCCUCCUUUCCCGUCACGUGAACCUGCGGCUUGCGACGCGCAUAGAACUCUGAAACGCAGCCGGUAACGAUGGAGAUUACCAACAGUAACGCGGUGGCGCUGUUGCCCUACGUUGGCACACUUUUGCGCGACUGCUCCUUCUUUGCGGUGGACCUGGAGUUUUCCGGCAUCGACCAUGACGGCGCCGAAGCUGACGCGGAAACUCCGGAGCAAGCUCUCCACUCCCUCACGCGAAAGCCAUCUGACCUAUAUCCGGCAAAGUUGCAGGCUAUUAAGCCGUACAGCAUGGUGCAGAUCGGCAUCUCCGUCUUCACGGAGCUGGUUCCCGGUGACGCCGAAGGGGCCACGAGCGCGAGCGGAGCAGCGUCUUUGACGGCACCCUCUUCGGCGGCGGCUCACCUGCGGAAGGAGGUGGCGGAGUUCUUGGCGGCGGACGUCGCAAAUCGCACCACCUAUGCGGAAACCACGACCGUGGUGGAGAGAAUGCUGACGAGCGCGAACGGCGCGGCCGCGGGCUUCACCUCGGCGUUCAAGUACAUAACUGAGCAAAUGGUCGCUGUUGCGCAGUCGCUGGAGGUCGUUGCAAGGGCCAGCGACAUUCGUGCCACGGCGGAGCCGGCACCGCCAAUUCAGUCGCUCCCUGGCCUGCGGUACCAUUACCGCUUCUUAGAGGCUCUCGGUCGUGCUGUUGCCAGCUAUCGAAGAGAAAUCACCGCCACCGGUGCGCCGGCGUUCGAGGCGCCGGUGGCGCGCUACAAGGUGCACACGUUCUCUGCGCUGACGUUCCCGGCUGCAACCGACUCUGCGGCGGACGUCACGCUCAACAUCGACACCGCCGAGUUCCUCGUCAAGAACGACAUGGACCUCACGCGUUGGGUGAAAGAAGGGCUGCGCUUUGCGCCGAUAAAGGUGGCGGCCGCCCAACUCGCCAAGGAAGCGGAGGCGAAGUUGCAGCAAAUGAACCUGCUGGCACAGCCGCACACCGUGCUGCCAGGGUACAAGGAAUGCAUCGGCAGGAAACUAGACGAGUUGCUUCCCCUCUCUCCAGGCGAGCUGCAGCUAGUAAGGUUUGUCAUCGCUCUCCCGGAUGCGGGGUCCGGUGAUAUGGCGGCAGCCAGGGUGAAGCAGUUCUACGUCGGAGCACUUCGUCCCCUUAUCUCCUUCGCGCGUGGCAAUGUUCCAGAGUCGGCGCUGCCAGAGUCUAUCUACACGAGAGACAAGCUCUUCAAGGACGAGAUGGACGCGCUGGCGGCAAUCGGGAUGACGAAGAUGAGCCGCAAAUUUAUGAGGGCCGCCAUCUCCAGCAGCUGGGGCAGCAGGUGCGGCUCCAGUCUCGUCUCUCAUAGUUACGGCAGUGCCCUCUUGGAGACUCUCUUAUAUGCGACCGAAGUGCAACGGAAGCCCAUCGUCUUCUACAACGGUUACACGGAUGUGAUGUUUCUGCUGCUCGCCCUUUACGGGCCGCAGAACAUGCCACCGGACCUGCCGUCCUUUAAGUCGCUGGUGCGCCGGCACUUCCCGUCACUUUUCGACACGCGCAUCCUCAGCUGCGCUGGACCGCUUCAGGGCUUGGGGAACUUCACGGGGAAGCUCUCGAGCGUGGUUGAUGAGAUGAGCAAAGUGAGCUCUAUCGGGCCACACGUGUCGUUUAUCUUUGACCCGCUCGUCUCUGGUGGCCGUGACGCCACGCAGCACUUGCUGGCCCACAACGCGGCCUUCGAUGCCUUGCUCACUGGCAAGCUCUUUGCGUUUGCCAAGUGCGGACUCGAAAAUGCCAACGUCAGCGUCAAAGUGUAUGAGAACUUCUUGGCCACCUAUACCACGCUGAUGUCGAUCAACCUGCAAGGCAGCGUGGACAGCGUGCUGCAGGAAGCGACUGCAAACGUGUACUACCUCACGAACAAGUCAGGGCUGCGGGCGGAUACGAUACGUGAGGCGCUCGCGGGGUGUGGUAUCACAGCCGUGGUGAUGUACCGAGGAAGCGGCUAUACCAUUCAACCAGUAGGUGCUGCGUGCCAGAUGCCGGACCUGAUGCAGGUGAUGAGAGAGGCGCUGUGCGCUAGGGCUCGCUCGCAGAUCGAACUGUAUCACAUCGCGCUGUGAGCGCACGCAUGGAUAGAAGCGAAGGAGAGAGCGCGCGGUUGUGCAGGUGCUAGAGAGAGGGAAGGGUUGAGGACACUCACUAGUACUGCGUAUGUGUGUGUACCCGCCCACCUGCGUUGACCGUGCCAUCAUGCCAACGUGGGCUCCGGUUCACAGAGUGCAGUUAAGGGACACAUUUUGUGCAUCGGUGAACAAGCGCAAACAAGGAAGAAAAAAGGCGAAGCGUUCUGCGACAUGACUUAAAGAUUGUGCAGCGGCGUUGCCAUCUUGGCCAUUCCCGCUCGCCAUGCACUACCACCCCGUCCCUCCUCUGUCUCCGUCUCUCUCUCGCUAUCUCUUUUUUUGUGUCGUUCUCUCUUCGUCACGUUUGCGCCUGCUUGUGGAGGUGCUGCAGCUUGGAGCAGCAUGCGACACGGAAGACAACAAAACGGAGUAGGCGGCAGCAUCUUCACGGUCCACCACACGGUGCAGCAGCCCAAAAAAUGGGAGUUGGAGGCAGUGACCGUGGGGAGGCACAGAGCCAG
RNAcentral lists this unclassified non-coding RNA (3237 nucleotides) under Leishmania donovani. Its description in RNAcentral is "gene:LdHU3.35.3050(CDS-product:poly(A)-specific_r ibonuclease_PARN_putative)". The record is from RNAcentral. Lineage: Eukaryota; Euglenozoa; Kinetoplastea; Trypanosomatida; Trypanosomatidae.